This 76-nucleotide transfer RNA is filed under the name Psyllaephagus sp. Its description in RNAcentral is "tRNA-Phe". The record is from RNAcentral. Lineage: Eukaryota; Metazoa; Arthropoda; Insecta; Hymenoptera; Encyrtidae.
AUUUAAAUAGUUUAAAGUUAAAAUUUAAUAUUGAAAAUAUUAAGAUGAAUAUUUAUAAAAUUUAGUUCUUUAAAUA